This 362-nucleotide long non-coding RNA is filed under the name Theobroma cacao (cacao). Its description in RNAcentral is "long non-coding RNA (TCAC_LNC003118)". The record is from RNAcentral. Lineage: Eukaryota; Viridiplantae; Streptophyta; Magnoliopsida; Malvales; Malvaceae.
UCACGUGUUGGCCAGCGUGAAGUGUACUCAAAUCCUACCUCGGUAGUUAUCCUACGCGCCUCUCCAAUUGAGGUAAGCUCAAUAAUUGGGAACCGUGCCCCUCUAAUUAGGCUAGCCCACGGAACCCCCGUCACUGCAGUGCCCACUUUAUAAUCCACCAACCAAUAAAAUCACAAUAGUAUGACAUGGCUCACUUAACACAUUCAAGGCAAAUCAAAGCAGUUCACAUAUUCUUUAAAUCAUAAAAAUAACCAGUCAUACCCACAUUUAUCAUAAGCCAUUUAAUGUAAAAUCAUGGAUAAACAACACAAUCAUAGUAUAGGUCUCCAAUUACUCUAUUUUUGAAAUCAUUAUUAAAUUUU